Molecule: non-coding RNA, 1498 nt
Organism: Ictidomys tridecemlineatus (thirteen-lined ground squirrel)
Lineage: Eukaryota; Metazoa; Chordata; Mammalia; Rodentia; Sciuridae
Source: RefSeq, a predicted model, not a curated record
CAUGUCUUUCUCCUCAUUGCUCAUGUUACAUCUGCCCUUUUCACAGGGAUGCUUGAAGAUGGAAAGAAAUUUGAUUCUUCCCGGGACAGAAACAAGCCCUUUAAGUUUAUGCUAGGCAAGCAGGAGGUGAUCCGAGGCUGGGAAGAAGGGGUGGCCCAGAUGAGUGUGGGUCAGAGAGCCAAACUGACUAUCUCCCCAGACUAUGCCUACGGUGCCACUGGGCACCCGGGCAUCAUCCCACCACACGCCACUCUGGUCUUCGAUGUGGAGCUUCUAAAACUGGAAUGACAGGAGUGGCCCCUCCCUCAGCCCCCUGUUCCUGGGAAACCAAACUGAAUAUCCCAGUGGCGCAUCCCUUUUCAUAUCUGCCAUGGAGGGAUCCGGUGCCUCCAGACGCGUGCACAUGAAUCCAUACGGAGCUUUUCCUGGCGUCCCACUACACUUUGUAUAAACAUCUACCCUGACUGAAUGUGUUCUGUCACUCAGCUUUGCUUCUGACACCUCCAUCUCCCCUCCCCCUUUCUCCUUGUAUGUGUGUUUACCUAAACUAUAUGCCAUAAACCUCAAGUUAGUCGUUUUGUUUUCAUUUUGGGGUGAAGAUUCAGUUUCAGCCUUUAGAAUCUAGGUUUCCAUUUAAGUAUCUUGACAGGUAUUAACAGCACAAGUAAUGGGUUAACUUUAGAAUAGGAAUUGGUGUUGGGGGGUGGGGUUUGCAAGAAUCUUUAUUUUAUUUUAUUUUUUUGGAUGAAAUUUUUAUCUAUUAUAUAUUAAACAUUCUUGCUGCUGCGCUGCAAAGCCAUAGCAGAUUUGAGACUCUGUGGAGGGCUGAAUUACUCUCUGAUGUGAGAAAUGUCCUUGGGUUAAAUUCAAAGCCCUACCCAAAACUGCAGUGGGGAGGGGAGGGCCUUUUCCUUGCCAGCCCACCCCCUCCCCAGAACCCCUCUGCCUUUUGAAAGCAGAUCACUUUCACUGCGAUGUUGACACUACAGGUAUCUGUCCCUGGGCCAGCAGGGACCUCUGAAUCCGCCUUUGUGACCUGGCUGGUUUUGGUUUGGGGUCUUUUGGGUUUUUUUUGUUUGGGGGGUUUUUUCCCUUUCUUUCCUCCAUCUUGUGGUUUUUCAGAACUUUUGUAAUAUCGAAGCUAUCCAAGUUCCACUUCGUAAAUUUUAAGAAUUUUAAUUGAAAGUUUAAAUUGAAGGUGCUGUUUGUAGACUUCAACACCCAGUGAAAGCCCGGCCAUCUUGACACAUCCUCGAGUGUCCUCUCAGAAAACGCUGCUGGCCACCGCAGCUUCAGCACCGCCUAUUUUUUGAUGCUUGGCUCUCUGCUGAUCUCCAGGUUUCCUGGCUUUUUGUCCCUCAGCCCCUUCUUACCCUUUGCUGUCCUGUGUAGUGAUUUGGUGAGAGAAAUUGUUGCUUUGUCCCCGCUUCCCCCGCACCACGUAUGAGUUUCAAGUUUUACUAUUGCAAUAAAAGUGCUUUAUGCUGGCUUUUCUCAG